Molecule: ribosomal RNA, 134 nt
Filed under: uncultured eukaryote
Lineage: Eukaryota
Description: partial 18S ribosomal RNA
Rfam family: Eukaryotic small subunit ribosomal RNA
Source: RNAcentral
UGGUGGAGUGAUUUGUCAGGUUAAUUCCGUUAACGAACGAGACCUUAGCCUACUAAAUAGUCGUCGUAAUUAAAUUGCGAGCGACUUCUUAGAGGGACUUUGUACAAAAUACAAGGAAGUUUGAGGCAAUAACA